Long non-coding RNA from Naja naja (Indian cobra), 1781 nucleotides. NCBI's taxonomy places the organism in Eukaryota, Metazoa, Chordata, Lepidosauria, Squamata, Elapidae. The record is from Ensembl.
GUGGAGGGCUGGGCCGUCUCGGGCUCGCACUCCCGCAGUAGCGGCGGCGGCGACACAGCUGACAGCUUGAGGGAUGCUCCGCUACGCAAGUCACAACAAUGCACUAUGACGUCACAUAAGGGAAUGGCGACUGCACAAAACAUCCCAGCCGAGGCGGCCGCGCUCGCGAGCAAACCGCACGAGACGCAGAGAAAAGAAAAGGCCUGCCACAGAUCUCGCGAGAGCUUGUGAAGACCCUGUAUUCAACCCACUCCUGUCUCCCUCCCCGCUGCCCUGUUCGCUUUACAAAUAGGGGGAAAUUAUUAAAACAGGACUACAUGUCCCAAGGUGCAAUACGCCCGAGCGCUGCGUUUGUGUUUGUUCCAGGUCCGGUUCCAGGUGGGGGCGAGGCCCCCUCAACAAGAAAUGUCGGGUGCUCUUCCAUCGCAUUGGUCUCCAACAAACCCAAGGCAGCCGGCCAAUACAAGUUUGAAUCACGUCUUCUAUCUGCUAUGGCUCCCUUGUAUGGAAGGGCAAGGUGACAUCAUGACUGUGGACCAGGUCAAGGUCCCUGUUGCUGUGAAUUUGUUGAAGAGACAUUACAUUCAGCAUUUUUUAUUUAAUCAGUAUUCUAAAUAUUAAUUAGUUAAGCAAUCUAGUUAAUGAACUAAAUAGUACAUUAUUUUGGAGAUACCAUAAUUGCAUUAUGGUCAAGGUUGGUUUAGUAGUGUACAACUGUAAGAUUACUUAAGAUAUCAACAAAUAGAAGAAAAUAGAAUGUCAUUCCUAUUGCUACAAAAAAGGAAAUUCCUAGUCUUAAUAUUUCUGGAUUUUCUUAUAUAUUCCUACUGCUGACAACAUUGCUGCUUUCUUUUCUUUCUUUUUCAUAAUCCCUUGGGAUAAUUGUAUAAUUAUUUUGCACAUAAUUAUUGUUGUGCAAAAUAUUUACACAUAGACUAAUUUGGACUAUAAGUCUUCUGAGGUUUCCAACUGAUAUUAAUCCAAAGUUUUAGUUUAAAUAAAGCAAGAAAUUGUACCUUAAGCCAUAUGAGGUAAUUUGUGAAUAAACUAAUAUGUGAUAAUAGAGAGGAGUUUUUAAAUCUGACAGUCCAUCCACCUUAAUAAACCAUUAAGUUACAGGAAUUAGUGUACGAAUUAGUGUAUCAAAACCAAAAUGAGAAAUAUUUGUAGUUAUAUCUUAUCAUUACAGCACAACUAAUGUAUUUAGUGUAUUGCCUGCAUAGGUUUUUCUUUUAAGUAAUUUUUAUUUUGUAAUUGUUUUCAAUAUUAUAUCUAUUUUGCAUCUUUUGUAUUUUAUGAUUUAAAUCCUCAUAGGGCUUAUUGUUAAUAGGUAUGAUAAAAGUGUUGAACAUAACAAACAAAUUAAGUAUUUUUAAACUAUUACUUCAAUGUAUUUGUCGAUAACGAUUUAUAUCAGCAAUAAUGAUACUUUUAAAAGUAAGAAGCAAUGAUCUAACAUUCAUUGCUUCUAUUAUAUAAUUCUUUUCCUAAAAUUCUGAGAUUACAAAAGUAUAAGAAGAAAACUGUAAGGUAUUUUGUAAGAAGGUAUACAUCAGGUAGUAAAGGUUUGUAGGCUGUAGGUUGUAUAGGUCCAAACAACUGUUCAUUAGGUUACUCAGGCAAUAGAGGGAGAUGAGAUUAUCCAUUAAAAAUAUAUUACUUUUACAACUCCUGGCUUUGUCUUGUCUACUCAUUUGUAUUUCAGAAUUAUUUUUUCUGCUGUUUUCAGCAAUAAUGCCACCAUUAUUUGUGCUAACUCAUAACUAUUAAAAACCAGAAGA